UACGGAGGAUGCAAGCGUUAUCCGGGAUUUAUUGGGUUUAAAGGGUGCGCAGGUUGUUUGAUAAGUCAGUGGUGAAAGUCUGUCGCUUAACGAUAGGAUUGCCAUUGAUACUGUUGGACUUGAAUAUGGAUGAGGUAGGCGGAAUGUGUAGUGUAGCGGUGAAAUGCAUAGAUAUUACACAGAACACCGAUUGCGAAGGCAGCUUACUAAUCCAUCAUUGACGCUGAGGCACGAAAGCGUGGGGAUCAAA
RNAcentral lists this ribosomal RNA (250 nucleotides) under uncultured prokaryote. RNAcentral describes it as "partial 16S ribosomal RNA". It matches the Rfam family "Bacterial small subunit ribosomal RNA", at positions 524 to 772 of the family's 1533-position model. The record is from RNAcentral.